This 360-nucleotide ribosomal RNA is filed under the name Triticum aestivum (bread wheat). Its description in RNAcentral is "partial small subunit ribosomal RNA". Lineage: Eukaryota; Viridiplantae; Streptophyta; Magnoliopsida; Poales; Poaceae. The record is from RNAcentral.
AUCCGUCAGUUUUGGUGGGGAAGCAAGAGGGGCAAGAGAAAAUCAUGUUGGAUAGCGUGGGAUUUGAUGACUCGAUCAAAAAGUUUGAGAGGAUUGGGAUUCCAGGACAUUAAGAUCUUCAACUUGGCACUUCUGUCCAGACAAGUGUGGAGACUAUUGAAUGAUUCCGCUUCUUUGAGUGCACAAAUUCUUAAAGCAGUUUAUUUUUCACAAGGCUCUGUCCUAGACGCUCAAUUAGGCCCUCAUCCUUCACAGAUCUGGCGUUCUAUACUUGAUGGGAGGGAUGUUAUCACCCAAGGGGCGAUCAGAAGAAUUGGGGAUGGAGCGUCCACGCACAUAUGGAACCAAAGUUGGAUUCCU